This is a long non-coding RNA of Centropristis striata (black sea bass), 300 nucleotides long. RefSeq lists it as uncharacterized. The transcript is spliced from 3 exons. The record is from RefSeq and is a predicted model, not a curated record. NCBI's taxonomy places the organism in Eukaryota, Metazoa, Chordata, Actinopteri, Perciformes, Serranidae.
UCGUUCAUUCUUCCGCCCUGAAAAUGUUUUUUUGGGCAAAAGUCUGCAGUGGAUUAGGGAUUCCAAGUACAUCCAACAACAGAUACAGGAUUAAAAAAGCCUAUGACAAACAAAAGGACAAGUCAACAUCGGCAUCACCUGUAGACUCCGAUGUCCUUCCUGGCCCUGUCAAAAAGACACAAUCACCGUCACAGGGUUCAGGCCAGCUAUCAAGUAAUUCUGAUGAAAAGACAGUCAAUUUUUUUCCGACGCAAAGUUCCAGGGGACAAACGGUUUUUUUCAUUGACCAGAAAAUUUGGA